Tachysurus vachellii is the source of this 1010-nucleotide long non-coding RNA. RefSeq lists it as uncharacterized. Lineage: Eukaryota; Metazoa; Chordata; Actinopteri; Siluriformes; Bagridae. The transcript has 3 exons. The record is from RefSeq and is a predicted model, not a curated record.
UGGCGUUUGGUUCUGUAGAUGAUCUCAUACAAUUACACAAGGAAAACAGAUGUUCCGGGGCCAUUUUGUGACAAGAAGUCCAACGAAUUCCUACUUCAACAGCACUCAGCAGGACAUUUCAUAAAACUGAUUCAUGGCAUGGUAUUCGCCCCUGCAGCCUUAGUCCAGUGCCUGAAGAUCUGCUUCCUUGUAGAGUUUCACUCCAGCCCUAAUCAAACCCACCGGAUUCAGGAUCUUCUGUACCAUCUGAAUAUUAGAGCCAGAUGUGUUGGACAUCAGCUCAGCAGGAUAGAAAUUUUCCUGGAAUAAUGGUGGACAUCAAGGUGGAGACUUCUCUGUAUGGAAUGGCUUACUCCAUGCAAGACAUAAAUCUUCGAACCCAGACGGCAAAUAUUACAUCUUCUCUAAAGAGAACCACACAGUUAAGUUGAGUGGUGGCAUGACUGCAGUGUGAGCAUAUGCUGUUUAACAAGGACCUACAACAUGGUUUGAUUUAUCUGCCUCCUGGACACCAGAAGCUGGAAGUAAGAAAGGGAUUUUGAGAUGAGUGUUUGAAACAGUGCCUUUCCUCUUACUCGCUGAUGUGUUGUGCUUUGCAUGAACAAACAGGUAAGGUGAUGCUUGAGCUGUUGGAUUUUUUUGUUAUUGUUGGGAUGGCACUGUAGCACAGUAAGGACAUUUGCUGCCUCACAGCUCCAGUGUGUGUGUAUGUGCGUGUGUGUGUACAGUAUGUGUGUGUGUUCUUCUUUCAGUUACUUCAGUUUCUGUAAUCCUGUGCCAAGUCUUUUGAAUACUGUGUGAAUUUACACUCACCAGUUAAUUCUGCAACUAAAUGAUACAUGAUUGUUUUACAGUGCAUCUUAUUUUAUGUCACUGUACAGUAAUUAGUACCCUAGAAUUUCAUUGUGUGAUUAAGCCAGAUGCUUGUGCUGUGGUCGGUCAGCUUUCUGCCAUUAAACAUUUAAUGAGAUGAUUGUAACUAUACACUCGCCACGCUCUUUUAUAGUAAC